Brassica oleracea var. oleracea is the source of this 1453-nucleotide long non-coding RNA. RefSeq lists it as uncharacterized. The record is from RefSeq and is a predicted model, not a curated record. Lineage: Eukaryota; Viridiplantae; Streptophyta; Magnoliopsida; Brassicales; Brassicaceae. The transcript has 2 exons.
AUGAGGUCACAAGAGAAAGAAAGAAAAAACAGUAACGCCAAUCGUUAGACAAACAAACAUUGGAAUAGAAAACUAUUCGAGAGAGAGGUAGGCCUUCCAUGUCAUCAGUUACCCCAUCUUCAUCGACAGACCUAAUUUUCUUACACUUGAAGCCUUCCAUGUUAUUAAUAUCAUAUCAUAUGAUUGUGUAUUUGUGUGCUACUGUUAUGUGAUGUUCAUAUGAUUGUAUGUGUGCUAGUGAGUUUGUUGACGAAAGAAGAAGCCUUUCUUACUCUGAGCUAUGGGCAUGACCUACUUAUUCCAACUCUCCUCCACCUACUUCUGUGCCCAUUCCUAGUUCUCUCUCCGGCAAAGGAGGACCGUUUCUUUAACCUUUCCAUCUCCUGACUCUGCUGUUGAUGUUCUUGAAGUUGCUAAGUCUGCUCCUGUUUCUCCAACCUCAUCUUGUGACGACGACAACCCGUUCCACAGUACUGUCUCUGCUACUAUGACACUGCGCCGCAUGCUUAACCUUGAGACUGCUGACGAAUGAAGAUCAGGAGGGUUUAGGGGAACAUGGAUUAGUUUUAGUUUUCUAAACAUAGUAAUAAGGUGUAAGUCACCAAGCUAGUUUAAAGAACGCAGAGGCAGUCUUGACACAGAGCUGGUCAUCAGCUAUUGUGAGUAGAAACAUUCAGGAAACAGAUUGAAACCGCGUAAGAGAGAAGACUUGGUUCUUGGUUAGCAUUUAGCAGCAUAAAGGAUGGCUGGUGAUGCUUGAGUAUUAGCAUUUGUUCUUUGUCCUUUGUAUUAGAGCUGUCUGUUUUUUCUUCCUUUGGCUUCUUCACUUAAGUGGGUUAGAUAGAAGCUAGGUUUAUGUGUCUACGCUCGAACGCCUCUUGGGAUCUUUGUCUUCUUACCUUUUCUCUCGUAUCUCUUCCCUUGUCCAUAUUUUUUCUAUUAAUCUUUUCUCUUCCGUCUAGUUCAUUUUGUUCCAGCCUUAGAGAUGUAAAUCUUACUACUUUGGUUAAGUGAUCUUCCUCUUCAGCUCUUUUCCUGAUUUUUUUUUUUUUGUAAAGGAACAAUAGGAAGUUCUAGUAACACUCUUAGACUAUCUCUGCUGAUGAGUUUCAUCCAUCUUGAUACCUGAAACACACUAAGUUUCCUUGGAGUUUCUUGAUCCUGCUUAAUCUGCUCACCAGGGACCUAUAGAAGCUGCUGCUCUGCUCUGCUUUUGAUGUUUUAUUAUGGUUUCUUUGUCUCCUACUAUCUCUGGUUGUGUUUGUUACGCAUUGAUAACUAUUUUCUGCAGUUCAAAAAAAAAAUAUAUAAAAAAAAUACUAUUUUCUGUGUUUGGAACUGUUGUGUGAAGCUUUUUACAAACGUAUGUUUCUUCUUGUCUUUUUGUAGUUUGUGACAGUAGUAGACGUUUUGAGUUUUAAUGUUGAAGAAAAUGUAUCCCUUGUUCCCUAAA